This 250-nucleotide ribosomal RNA is filed under the name uncultured bacterium. Its description in RNAcentral is "partial 16S ribosomal RNA". It matches the Rfam family "Bacterial small subunit ribosomal RNA", at positions 524 to 773 of the family's 1533-position model. The record is from RNAcentral.
UACGGAGGGUGCAAGCGUUGUUCGGAAUUAUUGGGCGUAAAGAGCAUGUAGGCGGACUGUUAAGUCUGGUGUGAAAGCCCGGGGCUCAACCCCGGAAGUGCAUCGGAUACUGGCAGUCUUGAGUAUGGGAGAGGAAAGUGGAAUUCCGAGUGUAGGAGUGAAAUCCGUAGAUAUUCGGAGGAACACCAGUGGCGAAGGCGGCUUUCUGGACCAAUACUGACGCUGAGAUGCGAAAGCGUGGGGAGCAAAC